Molecule: ribosomal RNA, 565 nt
Filed under: uncultured bacterium
Lineage: Bacteria
Description: bacterial SSU rRNA
Rfam family: Bacterial small subunit ribosomal RNA
Source: RNAcentral
CCUACGGGAGGCAGCAGUGGGGAAUAUUGGGCAAUGGGGGCAACCCUGACCCAGCGACGCCGCGUGAGGGAAGAAGGCCUUAGGGUCGUAAACCUCUGUUGUGUGGGAAGAAGGAAGUGACGGUACCACACGAGGAAGUCCCGGCUAACUACGUGCCAGCAGCCGCGGUAAUACGUAGGGGACGAGCGUUGUCCGGAAUUACUGGGCGUAAAGGGCGCGUAGGCGGGACUUUAAGUCAGGUGUGAAAGACCGAGGCUCAACCUCGGGGUUGCACUUGAAACUGGAGUUCUUGAGGGCAGGAGAGGAAAGCAGAAUUCCUGGUGUAGCGGUGAAAUGCGUAGAAAUCAGGAGGAAUACCAGUGGCGAAGGCGGCUUUCUGGACUGACCCUGACGCUGAGGUGCGAAAGCGUGGGUAGCAAACAGGAUUAGAUACCCUGGUAGUCCACGCUGUAAACGAUGGAUACUAGGUGUGGGAGGUAUCGACCCCUUCCGUGCCGCAGCUAACGCAAUAAGUAUCCCGCCUGGGGAGUACGGUCGCAAGGCUGAAACUCAAAUGAAUUGACGG